Molecule: long non-coding RNA, 735 nt
Organism: Triticum dicoccoides
Lineage: Eukaryota; Viridiplantae; Streptophyta; Magnoliopsida; Poales; Poaceae
Exons: 3
Source: RefSeq, a predicted model, not a curated record
UGUAAGCUUAUACGUCUCAAAAAUCAAUGUCUCCUUGUGUGCUCUGUUUUACAUAUGCUCACCAGUUAGAAGCUCCUAUUCGCCUCCAGGGUGACAAAGAAAAGCGAAGAGGCUGUUUUGAGAACGGAUGGUCCACCAUUAAAGAAACAUCAUGAGGCAUUGUACUCAUUGGUGAAGGAUGAUAAGGACUUGUGAUGGUGUCUCAUGAGUGAAGAGAAAAUAUUUACUAGUUGUUACUUGAUUUUUUUGAUACAAAUGAAACUGCAGUGGUUGUUCUAGACAGUGUUUUUGGUUAAUAAUUUCCCAAUGGUAUUUAUCUCCAGAUAUGUAUGUUGGGAGUUAGAGCAAGAGAUUUGCGAGGAUCAUCAUUAAGUAUGGCUGAAUUGGUUUCUAAACUACAAUCUUCUGAACAAGCGAGCCAAGUGCUUGAAGAAAAGUUUGCCGGAAGUGUCAGAAAUUAAGCGUCUUGGGUUUGCUAGAUAGUAAGUGAUAGUUCUCAUGGAAGCCAACAUGAUCAAGACUGAUGGUCCACCAUAAUAUUAUAGAAGCAUGAGGAGGCAUUGUAAUCGCUGAUGAAAAAUGAUAUCCAUUCAAAAAAUGAUGGUGUACCUUGAUUGAAGAUUAAUAGAUAUUAUCUUUAGUUGUCUUGUUUUGUAGAUAGGUACGAUGAAGUACAUUGGGCAUCUAAGGAGUGCUUUUGUCUCAAAUUUCUUAAAGGAUAUUUAAUUAUAGAAU